ACUCCUGCGGGAGGCAGCAGUGGGGAAUUUUGGACAAUGGGCGAAAGCCUGAUCCAGCAAUGCCGCGUGUGUGAAGAAGGCCUUCGGGUUGUAAAGCACUUUUGUCCGGAAAGAAAUCCUUGGCUCUAAUACAGUCGGGGGAUGACGGUACCGGAAGAAUAAGCACCGGCUAACUACGUGCCAGCAGCCGCGGUAAUACGUAGGGUGCGAGCGUUAAUCGGAAUUACUGGGCAUAAAGCGUGCGCAGGCGGUUUGCUAAGACCGAUGUGAAAUCCCCGGGCUCAACCUGGGAACUGCAUUGGUGACUGGCAGGCUAGAGUAUGGCAGAGGGGGGUAGAAUUCCACGUGUAGCAGUGAAAUGCGUAGAGAUGUGGAGGAAUACCGAUGGCGAAGGCAGCCCCCUGGGCCAAUACUGACGCUCAUGCACGAAAGCGUGGGGAGCAAACAGGAUUAGAAACCCUUGUAGUCCCA
This 471-nucleotide ribosomal RNA is filed under the name uncultured organism. RNAcentral describes it as "partial 16S ribosomal RNA". It matches the Rfam family "Bacterial small subunit ribosomal RNA", at positions 335 to 797 of the family's 1533-position model. The record is from RNAcentral.